UUCAUUUCCUUCCGAAUUCAUCUUUUGUGAAAUUCUCCCGCUUUCAAAUUAGGGAAAUUUCGUUUCCCCCAUAAUUCAUUUUGUUUCCCUCCGAAUUCAUUUUUUGUGAAAUUCUCCCGCUUCCAAUAAGUUCAACGAUUCCUCUUCGUUGUUUAUUAAAAACCGUCAAGUUACACGAUUCCUCUUCUUUGUUCACCUUCAUUUGUGAUUAGGGUUUUUCACCAUUCUAUUAUACUCUUUCUGCGAUUAAACUGCUUCUCCGAUUCACUUGGGUGCGCGAUUCACCAUGGAGUGUUCACCUUGCUUGGAGAAGAUUUGACACCUGCAAGAGAUGGUACUCAUUCCACCAUUGAAUUAGUUGUUGAUCCCAAGUUUAAUCAUGGAGUACUUUAUGACCAGAUUCAAAUUUCCUUCCAUCUGCAGUUAAUGUUUUAUGAAACCGGUUUGAAAAAAUGAUGUAGAGGGAUUGCACUGAGAUGCCACAAGUUUUGUGAAAAUGGUGUAACAUUGAGUGAACUGAAAAUUUUCAUCCAUGAAUUUCAUUCCAACACCAAUGCUUCCACCUUGAGGUUCACAUCAAUACUGAUGAAGAAGGAUGAGUGAAGACUGAUUAUUGAUGUUUGAAGACCUUUUUUGUGAUUCUAUUAUGUUAAGUUUGUAUUAGUUAUUGUGUGCCAACCUUUGGUUUUGGUGUCAACUAAACUAUUAAGUCACUGCUUUUUAAAUUUCAAGACAUGUUAAGAUAUUGAUGUAAUUGAAUGCCUCCAUUUGACGAAUGCUACCUUUUAAAUUUGCCUUUGGUU
Molecule: long non-coding RNA, 803 nt
Organism: Vicia villosa (hairy vetch)
Lineage: Eukaryota; Viridiplantae; Streptophyta; Magnoliopsida; Fabales; Fabaceae
Exons: 3
Source: RefSeq, a predicted model, not a curated record